UUUGCAAGGGGGAAGAGGGGAACCUGGCUGCAUUUCCUCCCACCUGGGCCUGCUCAUCUGGCCUGUGGCUUGUUCAUGUCCUUCCAUAAGCCCCCCAGGGGUCCAUACUCCACGGACCCCUCCUCUCUUUCUAUGAUCUUGACAGGAAGCCAGCAGAAUACACAUUUGGCAAUAGAUUUGGUCCUCCAGACUCUAAAUGAUAAUAACAACCACAAUCACAGCUAAUAUUCUUAAACCUUAAAGUUUACAAAGUACUUUACACAUGUUAACUCACUUGACACCAUGUGAAGCAGGUGCCAUUAUUAUCUCCAUUUUACAGAUGAGGAAACUGAGGCUAAGAGAGGUCUGAUUUAUUCAGUGUGAUGCAGCUAGAGAGUGUCUAUCUCAAUAGGAUUUGAAUUCAGAUCCCCUUGCCCUACAAGUCUAGCACUGUGGUCCCUUAACCAGGGAGGGGUCUGUGAAUUCAUUUUUUGGAAACAUUUCAAGGCACCUGAGAGAAGGCAGAAUGGGGCCAGUGUUUUCUGAAUGAAUGAAAAAAGCAUUUAUUGAGUGCUUACUGUGUAUCAGACACUGAGAUAAGAGGAGGAGCUAGGAAUAAAAAAAGGAAAAAUAGUUUCUGCUCUCAAGGAACUUAUCAUCUAAUACAGAAACACAACACAUGGGAAAUGGUGUCUAGGGCUUUUGUCCAGUCGGUCACUGGGAUAGUCAGAGUACUUUUGAUUGAUCUAUCAUUCCCAGGAAUGGCUCUAUCUGAUUAUUGUUCCCAGGACAAAAUGUUGGAAAAGGGACAGGACUAUAGAUAAGAGUGAUCAGAAGUAUCAGGAAGUUUGCUAGAGUGUGAUUAUAGAUAAUCUAAGAGAAUAGGAUUCCCUGGCUCACUACUAAGAAGUAAAUGAAGGGGAGCAUCUCCUCAUAUGGGAAGAUAUGAUAUGGAAGAACACAUUGUAAUCUUCUAGAAUGAGAGUUAGAAGUCACCCUAGAAAUAAUUUUUUUUAUUUUUUAUAGUUGGGGAAACUGAGGCAGAGAUGACAGAGCUUGGAUUCAAACCCAGGUCCUCCGUCUAUAAAGCCAGUAUUCUUUUAACACUGCUUCAAGGGGACAUCUCCUGAAAACCAAGCCAUAGGUUGUUGGUGGUUUGGGUGCUAAGCAAUCGAUGGCAGAUCAAACUCCUUCUCUGAACCUCAGUUUCCUUAUUUGUCACCUUGUUACUACCAACCUUACCCGGUUGCCUGAAAGCUCUAGUGUGACAACGAAUGCAACCUCAAAGCACCGGGAUUCUCUGCCAGCUCUUAUUCUGACAUCUACAGGGACACGGAUGAGUGCUUGCCUGGGAGGUCUGAAGGGGAGAUUGGGAUCCAGGUCCCAUUAUGGUUUCAAACUGGGCUGGCAGCUGAGGACCCAACCACAGAAAAGAAAUUCUAUGAUGUUGUUGUUAUGAAUCGGAAUUCUGUUUGAAUUGGAAGUCACCCGGGGACAUUGACUAACGGGGCAGGCCCUGGCGCCAAGCGGAAAAAUGUUGUUUGGGGAUGGGACUGGCAUGUUAGCCUGACUGCAGUAUUUUUUGGGUGGGACGGGCCUUUUGAUGAAAAUAACCCAUGGUGUCCCUCUUUGACUGGGACUGAGAAAAAGAGUCUUCCCAAAGAGAGCUCGGGACAAUAUUCCCAUUGUCCGUUUUUCAGUCAGAUUCCAUGUCAGAGAAGCCAUGACUAGGGACUCUGGCAUCUGGGAUUCGUUGGGGGGGGGGGGGGGGGGGUAACAGGAAAAAGUCGUGGUCUGGGGGAUAACUUUCCUCUUAUUCUGGAGCUGUGCUGACCCCUUCCUCAGACCAAAUGUGGUAAGGAGAAGGAUGGCUUCUGGACCCUGUUCCUUAAGGCUCAAGGGCCUUGAGGUGCUUCCUUUUCAUAGACAUGACAAUAACUUCCCAGGCCACGGCUUUUUCCUGGCGGCCUCUCUGCAUGGGCUACUUACUGCCUGGUCUCCAGGAGCAAUAUCCCUUUAGCUUCCUCCCCUUUGGACAUCUUCAUAGCAUCAUCACUAACUAUGUUGCCAUGGAUACUAGUGACCAUGCCCUAGAGGAACGUCUGCUCUGGGCUCUCUUGAUUGGAACUGCCUCUCCUAGAAAACUAUUUCAAGACCUGGCAGGAGGACACUCCUCAUCCACCUCAUCACCUUCGGGAGGGAAGCAGGCUCGGGGUUGUCACUGCUGUUCCUGGAGAGUUUAAGUGAUUCAGCAGAGGAUGAUUCAACAUCUAUGAGCAGACGAGCACUAAUGAAGCACUUCCUGGGUACUAGGUACCGCUCUAGGCUCUGGAGAUAUAAAGACAAAUCUUCCAUCGAGGACCUCAGUGAUUAAGGCAAAGGUCCUCUGAUGUCAGCUUAGGAGCUUUCUCUUGGAAAGACCCAUUGUUCUGGUAGAGUUUUUAACGAGGGUCCAAAGAUUUCAGGGGGUUGGUGAACUUUUUCUUUUCCAUGUGGAAAAUCACAUUUGGGUGUAAUUGAUUUCCUUGGAAAGUUUGUGUUUAUUUUCUGCAUUUAAAAACAUUAUUCUGAGAAGGGUUCUCUGACCAAGAACAAUUAAGAACUUCUGGUACAGAGUCAGAGUCAAGUCCCACUCCCUACUCUCAGCAGCUUUAAACUCACUGAGGGGCAGCUGUAGACUAGAAAUGAUAAUCCCUGACCUGACUCUGGGAAGAGACCACUUAGAAGACCAU
Sarcophilus harrisii (Tasmanian devil) is the source of this 2711-nucleotide long non-coding RNA. RefSeq lists it as uncharacterized. The record is from RefSeq and is a predicted model, not a curated record. The transcript is spliced from 2 exons. NCBI's taxonomy places the organism in Eukaryota, Metazoa, Chordata, Mammalia, Dasyuromorphia, Dasyuridae.